Molecule: ribosomal RNA, 468 nt
Filed under: uncultured bacterium
Lineage: Bacteria
Description: bacterial SSU rRNA
Rfam family: Bacterial small subunit ribosomal RNA
Source: RNAcentral
GCCAGACUCCUACGGGAGGCAGCAGUGAGGAAUAUUGGUCAAUGGGCGCGAGCCUGAACCAGCCAAGUCGCGUGAGGGAGGACGGCCCUACGGGUUGUAAACCUCUUUUGCCGGGGAGCAACGGGCGUCACGUGUGGCGCCACUGAGAGUACCCGGAGAAAAAGCAUCGGCUAACUCCGUGCCAGCAGCCGCGGUAAUACGGAGGAUGCGAGCGUUAUCCGGAUUUAUUGGGUUUAAAGGGUGCGUAGGCGGAUCGUUAAGCCGGUGGUAAAAUGGGGGGCCCCCCCCCCUCCCCGCCAUUGAAACUGGCGUUCUUGAGUGGAAGAGAAGUAUGCGGAAUGCGUGGUGUAGCGGUGAAAUGCAUAGAUAUCACGCAGAACUCCGAUUGCGAAGGCAGCAUACCGGCGCUCAACUGACGCUCAUGCACGAAAGUGUGGGUAUCGAACAGGAUUAGAUACCCCUGUACGG